CUUGCUUUUUUGCUGACGACCGGCGCACGGGUGCGUAACGCGUAUGCAACCUACCCAUUACUAGAGGAUAGCCCAGGGAAACUUGGAUUAACACCCCAUAGUACUAUAAAGCCGCAUGGUUUAAUAGUUAAAGUUUACGGUAGAGGAUGGGCAUGCGGCUGAUUAGAUAGUUGGUAAGGUAACGGCUUACCAAGUCAUUGAUGGGUAGGGGGUCUGAGAGGAUUAUCCCCCACACUGGUACUGAGACACGGACCAGACUCCUACGGGAGGCAGCAGUAGGGAAUAUUGGUCAAUGGAGGCAACUCUGAACCAGCCAUGCCGCGUGAAGGAAGACGGCCCUACGGGUUGUAAACUUCUUUUAUACACCAAGAAACGCAGUUAUGCGUAACUUUUUGACGGUACUAUAUGAAUAAGCACCGGCUAACUCCGUGCCAGCAGCCGCGGUAAUACGGAGGGUGCGAGCGUUAUCCGGAAUUAUUGGGUUUAAAGGGUACGCAGGCGGCUUAAGAAGUCAGUGGUGAAAGCCUUCAGCUUAACUGGAGAAUUGCCAUUGAUACUGCUGACCUUGAGUUCGGUUGAAGUGGGCGGAAUAUGUAGUGUAGCGGUGAAAUGCAUAGAUAUUACAUAGAACACCUAUUGCGAAGGCAGCUCACUAAGCCGAUACUGACGCUCAGGGACGAAAGCGUGGGGAGCGAACAGGAUUAGAUACCCUGGUAGUCCACGCUGUAAACGAUGAUAACUCGCUGUUGGCGAUAUACUGUCAGCGGCCAAGCGAAAGUGAUAAGUAAUCCACCUGGGGAGUACGAUCGCAAGGUUGAAACUCAAAGGAAUUGACGGGGGCCCGCACAAGCGGUGGAGCAUGUGGUUUAAUUCGAUGAUACGCGAGGAACCUUACCUGGGCUUAAAUGCAUAAUGACAGGUCUAGAAAUAGAUUUUUCUUCGGACAGAAUGCAAGGUGCUGCAUGGCUGUCGUCAGCUCGUGCUGUGAGGUGUCGGGUUAAGUCCCAUAACGAGCGCAACCCCUAUCUUUAGUUGCCAGCGAGUAAUGUCGGGGACUCUAAAGAAACUGCCGGCGUAAGCCGAGAGGAAGGUGGGGACGACGUCAAGUCAUCACGGCCCUUACGUCCAGGGCUACACACGUGCUACAAUGGUUGAGACAAAGGGCAGCUACCUGGUGACAGGAUGCUAAUCUCUAAACUCAAUCUCAGUUCGGAUCGAAGUCUGCAACUCGACUUCGUGAAGCUGGAAUCGCUAGUAAUCGUAUAUCAGCCAUGAUACGGUGAAUACGUUCCCGGGCCUUGUACACACCGCCCGUCAAACCAUGGAAGCUGGGGGUGCCUGAAGUCGGUGAC
This 1352-nucleotide ribosomal RNA is filed under the name uncultured prokaryote. RNAcentral describes it as "partial 16S ribosomal RNA". It matches the Rfam family "Bacterial small subunit ribosomal RNA", at positions 75 to 1434 of the family's 1533-position model. The record is from RNAcentral.